Long non-coding RNA from Bactrocera tryoni, 1004 nucleotides. RefSeq lists it as uncharacterized. The record is from RefSeq and is a predicted model, not a curated record. The transcript has 3 exons. Lineage: Eukaryota; Metazoa; Arthropoda; Insecta; Diptera; Tephritidae.
UUGACGCGUUUAAUAACACACAAAGCUGCAGGUAAAGUUGUUAAGAGUAGGGUGGAAGCAAUUUCAGUUUGGGCAUUGUCGAUUUCUUCGCCAGUUAGUCGGCAUACUGAUUGGUGAAGUUUACGAAUCAGCCCUUGCAUUCGCGGACGGUCUUUUGUUGGACCAUUUAUUCGCUUUUUUUGAAUUAUCUGAAAAAAGUACAAGUGCAGCUGGAGAAUACUGAAGGUGGGGUAAUAGCCCUGACAGACGACAGCGCUAAUUUGCAUUAGCGAGUAUAAUUUACAUAAACUUGCGCAUUUGACCCAUUUUAAUACAAAUUAGUAAUGCACAAAAAUGUCGUGCAUUUAGCUGAAUUUACCAAAUUUUAGUAGGCAACAUUCGUUAAAAAUUGCAGACUUUUGUUAUUGUGAAUGGUGAUUAAUAGAAAGAAGAAGAUAAAACAUAAACAAAAGAUUUAAGGAAAGCGUUAGAGAUGGAAGGAAACAAACAAUGGGAACAAACAUCUAUGCCGAUAUAUCUGUGCAAAUGGCACACAAAUUUACAUUAAAAGAAGUUCAUGUAAAAAUAAGGAAUCUCUCUUAAAAAUAUAGAGAGGAAAAGAAAAAGUAGGGCCCUCGGGGGCCCACGAAUUCAACAUUACUUCAGUUCCAGUCAUCUAUAACUAUAAGAUUACGAGAACCAAUGUCAACUGAACCUAUAGCAUCACCAGGACCAAUGUUAUCUGAACGGGUGUGUACGCCAGUAAUGACAUUGACGAACUCGCCAUCAGUAUCGCCAUUGGGUAGUUCAACAUCAGCAGCGGGUACAUCUAAAAAGAGAAAUUACAUGGGCGAACUAAUAAAAGUGGCAAAAGAACAAAAGGAAUUGCUGAAGACAGUGGUGCAGGACGGGAAAAUAUUGACCGAGAGAGUUGUUAAUGCAAUCGAACAACAAAGUAGUAAUACAAAAGAGUUUAUAGGUGUUAUGAAAAAUAUUUUAGAAAAAAUGUACUUAUAAAUGUAUAU